This 481-nucleotide small RNA is filed under the name Pan troglodytes (chimpanzee). RNAcentral's name for it is "processed transcript". Lineage: Eukaryota; Metazoa; Chordata; Mammalia; Primates; Hominidae. The record is from RNAcentral.
UUAACCAAUCUUCUAGAUUCUGUGGAGGGGCAAAAAAGCAUUUUAGAAUAGUUCUGAUUUGAUUUUAAAGGCCUCAUAGGUUUUCAUAGAUGCUGUUAAUGAAGCUUACGUUUAUUUCUGAUGUUUUUAAAGUAGAUGUGGAUUCUAACAAAACAAGUAUUGAAAUGAUUGAGUCCUUUGAAUUUUUAGGUAAGAAACCUAGGACCAAAGCACCCAAGAUUCAGCGUCUUGUUACUCCACGUGUCCUGCAGCACAAACGGCGGCGUAUUGCUCUGAAGAAGCAGCGUACCAAGAAAAAUAAAGAAGAGGCUGCAGAAUAUGCUAAACUUUUGGCCAAGAGAAUGAAGGAGGCUAAGGAGAAGCGCCAGGAACAAAUUGCGAAGAGACGCAGACUUUCCUCUCUGCGAGCUUCUACUUCUAAGUCUGAAUCCAGUCAGAAAUAAGAUUUUUUGAGUAACAAAUAAAUAAGAUCAGACUCGGA